GCAAACUUGGUCAUUUAGAGGAAGUAAAAGUCGUAACAAGGUUUCCGUAGGUGAACCUGCGGAAGGAUCAUUAUCGAGUCCAAAUCCGGCCUUCUCUCUGGCUGUGCAUUCACUUGCACGCCGGAGGGGCGCGUCGGCUCUUUGACUUUCACACACACCUGUGCACCCUUCGGCUCGUCGCAAGGCGGACCGUCUUUUUUUUACACCCUUCUUCGUAUGUCCUAGAAUUUUUUUCGGCAGCUCUGUGAUGGAGCGGUCGGCGAUAAACAAAUACAACUUUCAGCAACGGAUCUCUUGGCUCUCCCAUCGAUGAAGAACGCAGC
This 323-nucleotide unclassified non-coding RNA is filed under the name uncultured fungus. RNAcentral's name for it is "partial contains small subunit ribosomal RNA, internal transcribed spacer 1, and 5.8S ribosomal RNA". The stretch from base 1 to 73 matches the Rfam family "Eukaryotic small subunit ribosomal RNA", at positions 1759 to 1831 of the family's 1831-position model. Lineage: Eukaryota; Fungi. The record is from RNAcentral.